AACGAACGCUGGCGGCGUGCCUCAUACAUGCAAGUCGUACGGUGCUUUGGCCGCAAGGUUAGAGCGCCGUGGCAGACGGGUGCGUAACACGUGGGUAAUCUUCCUUUAUGUUUGGCAUAAACCCUCGAAAGGGGGUCUAAUUCCGAAUAACGUCCGGAGCCGGCAUCGGCUUCGUACCAAAGAUGGCCUCUACUUGUAAGCUAUCACAUAGAGAUGAGCCCGCGCCCGAUUAGUUAGUUGGCGGGAUAAAAGCCCACCAAGACGUCGAUCGGUAGCCGGCCUGAGAGGGUGUCCGGCCACACUGGGACUGAGAUACGGCCCAGACUCCUACGGGAGGCAGCAGUAGGGAAUAUUGCGCAAUGGCCGCAAGGCUGACGCAGCAACGCCGCGUGGGGGAUGAAGGUUUUCGGAUCGUAAACCCCUGUCGAGAGGGACGAAAGGUGAAUGGGUGAACAAUCCAUUCGCUUGACGGUACCUUUAGAGGAAGUUCCGGCCAACUUCGUGCCAGCAGCCGCGGUAA
RNAcentral lists this ribosomal RNA (520 nucleotides) under uncultured bacterium. Its description in RNAcentral is "bacterial SSU rRNA". It matches the Rfam family "Bacterial small subunit ribosomal RNA", at positions 29 to 523 of the family's 1533-position model. The record is from RNAcentral.